This 336-nucleotide ribosomal RNA is filed under the name Triticum aestivum (bread wheat). RNAcentral describes it as "partial small subunit ribosomal RNA". The record is from RNAcentral. Lineage: Eukaryota; Viridiplantae; Streptophyta; Magnoliopsida; Poales; Poaceae.
AUGAUGAUAUAUAUGGUUGGGGUAGCAGUAGCACUAACUGAAAAGAAGCUUGUCCAACAUCAUCUGAGAUGGUUUAGGCAUAUACAACGCAGGCCUCCAGAAGUGUCCGUGCAUAGAGGAAGGAUAAAGCGUGUUGAUGAUGUCAAGAGAGGUCGGGAUAGACCAAACUUGACAUGGGAGGAGUUUGUUAAGAGACUUGAAGGACUGGAAUAUCACCAAAUAACUAGCCAUGGACAUUUGUGCAUGCAAGUUAGCUAUCCACGUGCGCGAACCAUAACUAGGUUUCGAGAUCUUAUGGGUUUCAAUUCUAGCCUACCCCAACUUGUUUGGGAUUGA